GUGCUGGCCUCGGCAGCACACUUACGAACACUGGGGGGACACAGAGAGGAGCAGCGGGGCCCCUGCGCCAGGACGACAUGCAAACCCGUGAGGUUGCAGCUCGUGUU
This is a small nuclear RNA of Phyllostomus discolor (pale spear-nosed bat), 107 nucleotides long. Lineage: Eukaryota; Metazoa; Chordata; Mammalia; Chiroptera; Phyllostomidae. The record is from RefSeq and is a predicted model, not a curated record.